RNAcentral lists this ribosomal RNA (235 nucleotides) under uncultured bacterium. Its description in RNAcentral is "partial 16S ribosomal RNA". It matches the Rfam family "Bacterial small subunit ribosomal RNA", at positions 1270 to 1500 of the family's 1533-position model. The record is from RNAcentral.
GAUCUCUUAAAGCUGUUCUCAGUUCGGACUGCAGUCUGCAACUCGACUGCACGAAGCUGGAAUCGCUAGUAAUCGCGGAUCAGCACGCCGCGGUGAAUACGUUCCCGGGCCUUGUACACACCGCCCGUCACACCAUGGAAGUCUGCAAUGCCCGAAGCCGGUGGCCUAACCACUUAUGUGGAAGGAGCCGUCUAAGGCAGGGCAGAUGACUGGGGUGAAGUCGUAACAAGGUAUC